GUUACAUGCCUCUGCUUUAUGUUUUCUGCUUCCUUCAGUUUGGUAUAUGUGAGCUGAAAGAGGCUUUGCAGACAAAAUAAGAAAAGGAAUUCUUCAUGUAUUUAACUAGGCUUCAGAGAAUGAAGAGCCCAGCAUUGCCAGAACUCAGCCAGCCUCCCUGACUCGUGUUUAGGUGGAGUGAAUUGAGUGAAACCACAUAUGAUGGGGUUUAGUGGUACAAGCUUCCUGCAGCUCCUGCCUAUUUGGAUGUAGGACUGUAGCAUUGCUCAGCUCUUCCCUGGUAACAAUAGUGAGAGAACAUUGUGGUCUUCUCCCAGAGCAACACUCACGAACAGAGAGAUACUAGUCAUUGAAGAACACAGGGACAGGAACUCUUAUGAUAAGAAAAUCUCUACCCUUCAGGCUAGCCUGUGACCCCAGUCCCACCAUCACAUAAGGGUUAGAAGAGAAGACAUCUAGAGCAGUUCCCACUGCCUGCUCUGCACCAGAGUCACUGUUAGAAUUCCUUUGUGAAUGUACAGUGAAUAGUGUUACAGGACCAAUUCAGAG
This is a long non-coding RNA of Cygnus olor (mute swan), 549 nucleotides long. RefSeq lists it as uncharacterized. NCBI's taxonomy places the organism in Eukaryota, Metazoa, Chordata, Aves, Anseriformes, Anatidae. The record is from RefSeq and is a predicted model, not a curated record. The transcript is spliced from 3 exons.